Molecule: long non-coding RNA, 538 nt
Filed under: Helianthus annuus (common sunflower)
Lineage: Eukaryota; Viridiplantae; Streptophyta; Magnoliopsida; Asterales; Asteraceae
Description: hypothetical non coding rna
Source: RNAcentral
CCUCCUCCUUCUUCACCUCCACCUUCUCCGUCGGAACCGCCUCCGUUUUCACCUCCUUCACCGGCGCAAUCGCGGUAUUCGUCUCCGUCACCGUCGCCGUCUCCGCCUUCUCCUCCGCCCUAGCUACCGCCGAUCGGAGCACACUAGCUCCGAUCGCAACCAACGGCAUCACCAGCACAUCUCGUCUUCUCCGCCGAGCAUAACCUGCAUCAUCACUCUCCUCCUCCUCCGGUUUCCUCCGGUUAACGCCGCUGCAGCUGACGUGGCGACGUGCGCUGCUACUCUCUUCCUCCGGUAUCCUCCGUUGAACGGCACUGAUGCUGACGUGGCAACGUCCGUUGCUACUCUCCUCUGAAUUCCUCCGGUGAACGGCACCGAUGCUGACGUGGCAGCGGCGACGGAGACACUCCUCAUCCGGAUUCCUCCGGUGAACGGUGCUGAUACUGACGUGGCGGUGGCGUUUGCUGGACGGAACCACACGGAACGUGUGAUGAGAAGUUUCCGGUGAAGAAAGCGCGUGGAUGACACGCACAGGAGG